GGACCCGCACAAGCGGUGGAGCAUGUGGUUUAAUUCGAUGCAACGCGAAAAACCUUACCUACUCUUGACAUACUUGGAAGCUCUUGUAAUGAGAGUGUGCCUUUUGGAGCCAAGAUACAGGUGCUGCAUGGCUGUCGUCAGCUCGUGUCGUGAGAUGUUCCGUUAAGUCGGAUAACGAGCGCAACCCUUACCCUUAUUUGCCAAUGAUUCGGUCGGGAACUAUAAGGGGACUGCCGGUGAUAAACCGGAGGAAGGUGAGGACGACGUCAAGUCAUCAUGGCCCUUACGAGUAGGGCUACACACGUGCUACAAUGGGGAAUACAGACGGACGCUAAGCCGCGAGGUGGUGCUAAUCCUAGAAAGUUUCUCGUAGUCCGGAUUGGAGUCUGCAACUCGACUCCAUGAAGUCGGAAUCGCUAGUAA
This 423-nucleotide ribosomal RNA is filed under the name uncultured bacterium. RNAcentral describes it as "bacterial SSU rRNA". It matches the Rfam family "Bacterial small subunit ribosomal RNA", at positions 917 to 1341 of the family's 1533-position model. The record is from RNAcentral.